GCCUGCUGAGCACUGCGCGUGAGUGAAGAACGCCUUCGGGUUGUAAAGCUCUUUUGUUAGGGAAGAAACGGUACGAGGCUAAUAUGCUGGGCUAAUGACGGUACCUGAAGAAUAAGCCCCGGCUAACUACGUGCCAGCAGCCGCGGUAAUACGUAGGGUGCAAGCGUUAAUCGGAAUUACUGGGCGUAAAGCGUGCGCAGGCGGUUUUGUAAGUCUGAUGUGAAAGCCCCGGGCUCAACCUGGGAAUUGCAUUGGAGACUGGGGGGCUUGAAUCUGGAAGAGGGGGGUAGAAUUCCACGUGUAGCAGUGAAAUGCGUAGAGAUGUGGAGGAACACCGAUGGCGAAGGCAGCCCCCUGGGUCAAGAUUGACGCUCAUGCACGAAAGCGUGGGGAGCAAACAGGAUUAGAUACCCUGGUAGUCCACGCCCUAAACGAUGACUGCUAAUUGUCGGGUUUUAAUUAACUUGUUAACCCACCUAACACGUGAAGUACACCCCCUGGGGAGAACGGUCGCAAGAUUAUAACUCUCAGGGG
This 534-nucleotide ribosomal RNA is filed under the name uncultured bacterium. RNAcentral describes it as "bacterial SSU rRNA". It matches the Rfam family "Bacterial small subunit ribosomal RNA", at positions 381 to 909 of the family's 1533-position model. The record is from RNAcentral.